CCUACGGGCGGCAGCAGUGGGGGAUAUUGCACAAUGGGGGGAACCCUGAUGCAGCGACGCCGCGUGAGCGAUGGAGUACUUCGGUAUGUAAAGCUCUGUCAGCAGGGAAGAAAAUGACGGUACCUGACUAAGAAGCCCCGGCUAACUACGUGCCAGCAGCCGCGGUAAUACGUAGGGGGCAAGCGUUAUCCGGAUUUACUGGGUGUAAAGGGAGCGUAGACGGCGCGGCAAGUCUGAAGUUAAAGGCAGGGGCUUAACCCCUGAACUGCUUUGGAAACUGCCAUGCUAGAGUGCUGGAGAGGUAAGGGGAAUUCCUAGUGGAGCGGUGAAAUGCGUAGAUAUUAGGAGGAAAACCAGUGGCGAAGGCGGCUUACUGGACGGUAACUGACGCGGAGGCUCGAAAGCGUGGGGAGCAAACAGGAUUAGAUACCCGAGUAGUC
This 440-nucleotide ribosomal RNA is filed under the name uncultured bacterium. RNAcentral's name for it is "partial 16S ribosomal RNA". It matches the Rfam family "Bacterial small subunit ribosomal RNA", at positions 338 to 795 of the family's 1533-position model. The record is from RNAcentral.